Molecule: ribosomal RNA, 331 nt
Filed under: Modicisalibacter muralis
Lineage: Bacteria; Pseudomonadati; Pseudomonadota; Gammaproteobacteria; Oceanospirillales; Halomonadaceae
Description: bacterial SSU rRNA
Rfam family: Bacterial small subunit ribosomal RNA
Source: RNAcentral
UGCAACUGAAGAGUUUGAUCAUGGCUCAGAUUGAACGCUGGCGGCAGGCCUAACACAUGCAAGUCGAGCGGCAGCACGGGAAGCUUGCUUCCUGGUGGCGAGCGGCGGACGGGUGAGUAAUGCAUAGGAAUCUGCCCGGUAGUGGGGGAUAACCUGGGGAAACCCAGGCUAAUACCGCAUACGUCCUACGGGAGAAAGCGGGGGCUCUUCGGACCUCGCGCUAUCGGAUGAGCCUAUGUCGGAUUAGCUGGUUGGUGAGGUAACGGCUCACCAAGGCGACGAUCCGUAGCUGGUCUGAGAGGAUGAUCAGCCACACUGGGACUGAGACACG